CUCCCCGGUAACCGUGGUACCCGUAAACUUGCUGCUUUGCUCACGAGUGGCGGACGGGUGAUAAUGUCUGGAAACUGCCUGAUGGAGGGGGAUAACUACUGGAAACGGUGGCUAAUACCGCAUAACGUCCAAGACCAAAGAGGGGGACCUUCGGGCCUCUUGCCAUCAGAUGUGCCCAGAUGGGAUUAGCUUGUUGGUGAGGUAACGGCUCACCAAGGCGACGAUCCCUAGCUGGUCUGAGAGGAUGACCAGCCACACUGGAACUGAGACACGGUCCAGACUCCUACGGGAGGCAGCAGUGGGGAAUAUUGCACAAUGGGCGCAAGCCUGAUGCGCCAUGCCGCGUGUAUGAAGAAGGCCUUCGGGUUGUAAAGUACUUUCAGCGGGGAGGAAGGUGUUGCGGUUAAUACCGCAGCAAUUGACGUUACCCGCAGAAGAAGCACCGGCUACUCCGUGCCAGCAGCGCGGUAAUACGGAGGGGUGCAGCGUUAUCGGAAUUACUGGGCGUAAAGCGCACGCGGCGGUCUGUCAAGCAAUUGUAAA
This 543-nucleotide ribosomal RNA is filed under the name Salmonella enterica subsp. enterica serovar Zanzibar. RNAcentral's name for it is "bacterial SSU rRNA". It matches the Rfam family "Bacterial small subunit ribosomal RNA", at positions 67 to 597 of the family's 1533-position model. Lineage: Bacteria; Pseudomonadati; Pseudomonadota; Gammaproteobacteria; Enterobacterales; Enterobacteriaceae. The record is from RNAcentral.